Molecule: long non-coding RNA, 632 nt
Filed under: Brachypodium distachyon (stiff brome)
Lineage: Eukaryota; Viridiplantae; Streptophyta; Magnoliopsida; Poales; Poaceae
Description: long non-coding RNA (BDIS_LNC001146)
Source: RNAcentral
GCUCAAAGGCCACGGGAAGCACUGGAUCGAGGAGCUCCAGCCCGUGCAGUGGUCGGUCAUGUAACAUCCCAAAAUUUCAAAUUCUUACAUGUGCAUUGCAUCCAUAAGUAUCAUGCCAUAAUUGCAUGUUUGAAUUCAAAUUUGAAUCUCAAAAGGCUUUUAAAAGGUUUUUAUUUCAAUUUAAACCCUAGGGUUUUCACCCAUUUGAGCUUUGGAUAUUCAAAUCAAUAAGGUUUACUUAUAAAAGGGGUUUAUUGCAUAUAUAAGCUAUCUCAUAAUUUUUGGAUAAUUAUUUGGAGUUGAAAACGUAUUUUAUUUAAAUAGUUAUAUAGCCCUAAAGGCAUUUAUAGGGCAAAUGUAUUUUUAGAUAUUUUAUUUUGAGGGGAAAUUACUCCCAAAAGUUGAACCAUGAUAGAACAUGAUUUUACAAAUUUUCUGGAAUUUAUUUGGACCAUUUUGGAGUUUAAAAUCAAAAGAUAUCAAAGAAAUAAGAAUAACAGAAAAAGAAAAGGGCUAAAAGAAAAAAAAGGGGAAAACGGGACGAGCCCGGCCGUUUUGGGUCGAACCGGCCCCGUCCCAACCGCGCCCGAGCCAAACCAACCGGACCCGUCCCCGCGCGCGCCGACGCUGAC